Molecule: small nuclear RNA, 164 nt
Organism: Prolemur simus (greater bamboo lemur)
Lineage: Eukaryota; Metazoa; Chordata; Mammalia; Primates; Lemuridae
Gene: U1
Rfam family: U1 spliceosomal RNA
About the family: U1 is a small nuclear RNA (snRNA) component of the spliceosome (involved in pre-mRNA splicing). Its 5' end forms complementary base pairs with the 5' splice junction, thus defining the 5' donor site of an intron.
Source: Ensembl
AUGCUCACCUGGCAGGGGAGAUGCCAUGAUCACGGAGGUGGGUUUUCCCAGGGUGAGGCGUAUCCAUUGCACUCCAGGUGCGCUGACGCCUGCAAUUUCCCCGAAGGCGGGAAACUCGACUGCACAAUUUGUGGUAGUGGGGGCUGUGUUCGUGCUUUCUCUUG